UUCAUUCAUCAACUUAUUGUCACACCAGCUACCCUGUUUCGGUAUAAACUAUUACCUUGUUUCAAUAUAAGCUAUCUAGCCAUUUUGCAGCUAGUUUGUCACUAGAUAUAUGUAAUCCAUGUUUGAUACCAUGUAAUUAAAUGAAGAGGGAAAAUAAUGGUAUCCAAUGUGAUGUAGGGCAGCAAACAAGCCUUUUGAGAAUUGGUUCAAGGUUUCAAUUGACUAGGACAGCAAGAAGGGUUGUCGGCUAGAAAUUAACUAGCAUGCAGAAAAUAACGCGAAAUAUUUGUUAGCACUGAUGUACUAGUGCUUCCAUAAGAUAAAACUAUCAAAGUUAACUGGAAGCAGCCCAGAAAGAAUCUUUCACUUGACAAUAUGUUACCUCCUCCAAAUUAGCUGUCCAUGCACAUGAAUAACCAGCUUUUGCGCCCAUUUCUCCUUUGUUUGUUCAUCUUCACCUUCAGAUCUGAUUUCGGGUGCUCUUGGAAAGGCUAGGAUCAAGGUAUGUGGGUGUGGCUUAGAUAGGAUGCUAGGUGGAAGGCUUAGUAUUUCAGAUUUAAAGGUAAAUAAUUUGGGUAGUGCAGGGAUUGGAUGAGAAUGGGGUUUGCUACAGUUUCAGCCAGCAAUGUGCUGAGGCGAUGCUUGGAGCAACUUAAGGUAGUGAUCAGGAAGUAGGCUUCAGGGUGGCUGCGGGGUUUCAGGUCAAAUAUGGCAGCAGAAGGAAAAAAUAAAAUGAAGGUUAGAAGAAAAGAGAGAGAGAAAGAGAGAGAGAGAGAGAGAGAGAGAGAGAGAGAGAGAGAGAGAGAGAGAGAGAGAGGUUGAGGGUCAAAUGAUCAGAUGAUGUCCAUCAAUCCUAGCUGCAUCACAUGCUAUCUAACAACAAGGUUGAGGGUCAGACAUUCGGAUGGCUUUCCUUCAUGCAUGAGCUCAAAAUCCGCCAUCUGGAUCUUUAUACAAUGCUUAACAAUGUUAAAUUUUUAGUUGAGGCGCCCCCAAAAUGCUUACAUGACUAUUUACUUUCUGUUAUCUUCCUUCAAUAUAGUUAAACUUCUUGUUGGUGAAAUUUUGUUUUUGGGUCCUGAUACAUAUUUCAAACGUUUUGUUGCUUCUUAAGUGCCACGUGGCAGUCCUAAAUAUACUUGCUGAUUCAUUCGUUGUUUUGGUUGGUUGAAGAUUUAAUUGACGGGGAACGAUGAGACUUUCUUCUUACGGAAAUUAUAUGUAAUUCAUCAACAACAUAAAGCAAAAGAUAUUUUCCAAUUAGGAUCUCUAUUUUGUACAAAAUGUCCUUUUGCAUGUCUUCAUGUUCAUGCAUGGAAUGUCGAACCAUCCUGAACUGGACGGUUCAGGAUGUUCCGAGCUGUCCCGACAGCAAACUGGGAUGAUUCGGUCAAGAAAAACGGCACAUUGGAGGGGGGAGAGGAAAGAGGGAAAGAGAGAGAGAGGAGGAGAAGCAAAGAUGGCACGAUACCAUCAGAGGGCCACGGAGGCCUCCGCGGCUCGGCAUCGCCCGAUAGGGUAUUUAAUCUAGCGAGAAAGAGAGAGGUGGAGCGACCAUACCGGAGGGAGGAGCAACUGGCGGAGGGACUGUUGGAGGGUGCUGGGUGGCCACUGGACGGCGGAAAAUAUGCGGAUGGAGCCGUAGCCGUGGAAUAGGGGUGAUCGCCUCGUUCACUCAUCGAAUUUUUUUAAAAAGAAAGAUGAAUAGUGAAGUCGGCAAAUCCAUUGCCGACUUCACUGUUUGAAAUUUUUUUUUAAGAAUACCUAAGAAACAGUGAAGCUGGUAAUGGGUUUGCUGGCAAAUCCGUUGCUGACUUCAUUGUAAUUGGAAUUUUCAAAAAAAACCUCGUGAAAUAGAGGUGAUCGCCCCUGUUUCACGCUUGCGGCGCCGGAGGCUAUGAUUGUGCCUUUCAGCAGCCUCUUCGGCGGCUUCUCCUCCCUUUUUUUUCCUCCCUCUCUCUAUCUCUCUCUCGACCGAGGAUCAGCCGAUGAAGCGGAGCCUUGGCGGCCCUUCGAGCACACCGGCAGUCUACUUGUGGCCACCGUCGGCAUCUCCUUCGGUCGCACUCUCCCUUUUCCCCCCUUCUCCCUCCCCUUCCCUCCCUCUCUCCCCUUUCUCUAUUUUCCUCCCAGUUUGCUUCUUUUCCUUUGUGUCGGUUCGCAUCGGUCUGGUCCAAUACGGACCCGUACCGACCCAUACCGCCGGCAUGGGUUCUGGUGCUGAGUCCGCGAACAUUGUGUACAUGCUUCAAACCAUAAUCACAAAAUUUGCUGGACUUCUUGGAGAAAAAAAGAACUCUGGAUAAUUCAUGGUUGGUAGCUUGUCUAAACAAUUCGGCGAAUAAUUUGCUGAUUUGAGAGUGCUCUAUGAAUAUAUCAUGAAAUUCAUGAUAUUUACAAAUAAACCCCAAGUCAGCAAAUCUUUUGCUGCCUCAUUUCUAACUUGCACAAAGGAUUUGGGAUUGGUGCUAGCUGUCAACAGAGUCCGCAGCUUGUUGGUAACACAUGGAUGUAGGUGAUGAAGUGCUAACGUGCAGCGCAUGCAUUGGAAAUAGGUAUUUAGGCCAUUUGGGGAUCUUAUUUUAGAUUUUGGUGUACUAAAAAAUAAUCUUUUCCCAACCCAACAAGGGAAACUUAAUGGUUAGGUAACAAAUAGAUUUUUUCUCUCUCAUGUUCUAUGUUGUAUCCUUCUCCUAAUCUUUUUCUUCUACUCACCCUCUCAUCACCACGCCUCAUGUCAUUUGCUCAUCUCAUGAAUAUUUUAUUUUUUUUAUUUUUAUUUCUUGUUUUUAAAGUACUCCUAAUUUUAAUUGAUUUUCCCUAAUUUAAACUUCACCUUGCCGAAUUAUUUUUGAAUGCCGGACUUAUGACUAUACUUAAAAUAAAAGAAGUUUAAUAUCUUUUUUGAAGGAUUUAUUUCAUAUGCCUACAGGGGGUAUGUAGUGUUAUGGUCUUGUGGACCCUUGCUAUUGAUUCUUUAACCACCUAAUGUUUGUACGUACUCUUUUUAUUUCUUAACCAAACGGCUAACCUCUAACAUCAACCUCUUCCAGUCUUUAACAUGUCUUGAAUUUUUUUAAGUGCUCCUUCAAAAAAUUGUCAUCCAUAGUUUGAGACCAAGGCAGGCUGAACUGGUACCAUGUCUUGUAUCGAUCAGCUGCUAGUUUAGUACUGUAGCAAUUCAAUACUAUACUGAGUGUUGGUAAGCCCUAGCAUACCGGUUCCAAACUGGCAUUUCUUUUUGUUUUUUCAAUUUUUUUUGAUAUAUAAUGAUGUUUAUGAACUUUUUUAACAUUUAAUGAUGUUUUUUGAAAAUUCUAAGUGAUUUAAACAUUAAUUUGAUGUUUUUUUGAGGUGUUUUGAUGUUCUUCAGUACAUUUUUCUUUUUUUUGCAUGUUUUUUGUUUAUAAAAUGACUAUAAUUUCAAUGAUAAAUAUGAUUAAAGUACAUAAAUCAUGAUAUUCAUAAAGAAAAUCAAUAAAAUACAGAAAGUUAAUUUAAAUACAUACCAAUAUUUAAAAUCUCAUAGUGGUAAUGUCUCAUAUAGAUGUUGGGGUCAUCUUCGUAUGUAGAGGGUUCAACUGAAUUCUCCAUUCACAUGGCCCUUCGGUUUGGUAAGCUCAUUGGGCCACCAUAAGGUACGAACCUAGAUAGUACCUAUAUGUGUUGUGGUUGAUGGUGUCGCUCUACAAGGAGUCAUUCGUCUGAUGCCGUAGCUGUGGAGCAACCCAUUUUAACAUGCUGGCAGCAAAUCUAAUAUGUAAGGUGCUUCAGGUCGCAUAGGAUAAUAGAAACUGGAGGAUGAUAUGUUUGAAGCACUAUAUCCAUAAGGGAAGUAGCUAGCUCCAUAUACGUAGGAUCCCAUACAGGAUUCUAAAUAUAAUACAUCGAGGGAUCCUACUCCACAUGCUAUAUCAUUUGUAGCAACUUAAUAUCCACCACAACUCAAGGAUCUCGUCUUUUAUAUGCAACCGUAUCCUCGCAAUCUUUCAGUUGUGCACCAUAGUUUUGAUCCUGCAUAGCAUGAGUGAAUUGAGACACUCCGGUGAAUCGAAGACCAUCUUAGGGCUGUGAUGUGGUGGUCUGACAUCUUCCUAGCCACCAGAUGCAUCAUCGCUACUCCCAUAUGACUGUGAAGACUUCUUGCUGUCUGAAUUUGACUCUUCCGCUCCCAAUAGGGUCUUGCUUUUGCCUUUCUUCCCAGCUAUUUUCUUGCCUCGCUCUGUCUGGCUUUGUUGCGAGGCAUAACUGACUAGACUGAGUAGCAGGCAGCCUCGUUUGAGCAUCUCUCAGUCAAUGCUGGGAGGAUGUCUUGGAGAUUGUUGAGGUAUUUCUGUAUGAGAAAGUUUCUUUGUUUGCUGUGGAUUAGAGUGAAUAUCGAUCAGUUGCACUCGGCCAUUGGAGGACACUAUCUUUGAGAGGAUCUAGACAGCAAGCCACCAAAGGAUCUGAGCUGAACCCCCGAAAUGAAACCACCACUUGGUUGCAAGGUAUUGAACAAUAUUAUAUAUAAGAUAGUGGUAAUUGUACAAUGUUAACCUGUCAAGUAAUAACUAUUGUUCAUGUGUAAUAUAUCUGCAUUCAUCAUGAUAUUGCCCUUGUUAAGCAUAGAUUCUCCUUCAUCAAAGCUGUAGAACCCUUCCUAAAUAGUUUUGUUUGUGCAAAAAAAGAUGUGGCGCACGAUGUUAUAGUAUGUUCAAUAAAUUAUUAAUGAUGGAAGAUCCCACCUAAAUUAACCUCUUUGAGACACUGCACCCCGACAUCUGGAUCAGGCUCCAUCUUGUAUAUCACUUUGCAUAGGGCGGACUGAAGUUCGCCAUCCAUUGCAAUACUAAGGAUGCUAUAAUGGAACUUUGGGUUUAAGUAAUGAGCCAUUAAUAUAAUUUUCAAUUGUUUUAGUAUGACAUGACCAACUAGAAGACUAGAGAAUGGGUAACUAUUUUAAUGUAUAUUCUUACCUAUGAGAUCCACCUGCCUACCCAUUUGGUAGUAUCUCGGCCUACUUCCAUAACUAUUGGCUUGUUAUCACACUCUUUAUGUGGCUCCCUUUAGUGCUGGCUCUUACAUAUCCGCUCUCCUGCAAUUCUGACAAGCAUCUAGUGCAGACUUGCCUUCCUAUCAAAAAGGCUAUCAAGUGCAAUAUUAUUAGUGGCAAACCAUGGAGUAUUUAUUCUAUGGCGAACUUUUGAGCCAUGACUGUUAUGUGAUUGUAGAUAUAUCUAGUGAUAAAUUGGGCUGUAUCUACCAAGGUUGUAAGUCCUAACGGGAUGGGGGCAUCCUGGCUGUUUUAUCUCGUUCCUAUGAAAAAAUAGGAUUGGGAUGGGGUUGGGAUGCCGAAACCUAAGCAGAGAGAGAGAAAAAGAAAGAGGAAAGAAAGAAAGUGAGGAAAGAUAGGAAAAGGAAAAAGAAAAAGGAAAGGAAACAAAGAAAAAGAAAAUAAAGGAAAAAUGGAAGAAGAAGAGAAAGGAGGGAAAGAGGAAGAAAAGAAAAAUAAAGAAGAAGAAAAGGAUAAAAGAAAUAAAGAAAGGGAUAAGACAAAAAAAAGGAAAGAAAGGAAGGUAGAAGAAAUGGGAAGAAAAGGAGAUAAAGAAUAAAGAAAGGAAAGAAGGGGAGAGAGAUAGAGGAUAUCUACAGAGAGAUAGAGGAUACCUAUUGGGAUGUAUAAUCGAGAUUGCCGUCGAGACGGGGCGGGACAGCGAAGCAUCCCGUUUCAUGGAGAAAUCAGGAUGCCCCCAUCCCAUGGGAUUUAAAAACUUGGUCUUUAUGACCUGCCUGAUCCUAUGAAUCUUGUCAAUAUCUAUUGGUAUGAGAUCGAUGCAAUGUGUAAUACAUGGUGUCCAGAAAAUAUGGGCCUGCCUAUCCAUUAAUAGCUCAUCGACAACCUUAUACCAUGGCCCAAUAUCAAUGACCACCUUGCAUGGUGUUCUACUCUCAUACAUGAUCUAUCAUGUUGUCCAUUGGUUUUAGAAUGUACUAUGCAUCGUGCACAUUAUUUGAAGCAUCAAUUGACUGGUGGAGGAAGGUCUUUACAUCAUAAUAAGUUAGAAAGUUGAUGAUGCUUCGUCUACUGGAUGCAUCCACCUAUCACACAUCACCAUCAAUCCAUUGGUGCCCAAGUUGCUUUGAUAUGAUGUUACCCAGCUCUGGAACUCCAUAUUGUUGUUGUUAGUGAGCUCACUAUAAAUAUCCUUUGGUCUUGGAGGAUCCACAUCCUGUCUUGCUCUUUGUUCGAGAUGAAAGGAGGGAAAGAAGAGAAAGGAGGGAAAGAGGAAGAAAAGAAAAAUAAAGAAGAAAAGAAAAAAAGAAAUAAAGAAAGGGAUAAGAGGAAAAAAGUAGAAGAAAUGGGAAGAAAAGGAGAUAAAGAAUAAAGGAAAGAAGGGGAGAGAGAUAGAGGAUAUCUACAGAGAGAGAGAGGAUAUCUAUCGGGAUGCAUAAUCGAGAUUGCCGUCGAGAUGGGGCGGGACAGCGGAGCAUCCUGUUUUAUGAAAAUAUCGGGAUGCCCCCAUCCUACGGGAUUGAAAACCUUGAUCUCUAUGACCUGUCUGAUCCUACGAAUCUUGCCGAUAUUCAUUGGUAUGAGAUCGAUGCAAUGUGCAAUACAUGGUGUCCAGAAAAUGUCGGCCUGCCUAUCCAUUAACAACUCAUCGACAACCUUGUACUAUGGCCAAAUGACCACCUUGCAUGAUGUUCUGCUCCCAUACAUGAUCUAUCAUGUUGUCCAUUGGUUUUAGAAUGUACUAUACAUCGCGCACAUUAUUUGAAGCAUCAAUUGACUGGUGGAAGGUCUUCACAUCAUAAUAAGUUAGAAAGUUGAUGAUGCAUCCACCUAUCACACAUCACUAUCAAUCCAUUGGUGCUCAAGUUGCUUUGAUAUGAUGCUACCCAGCUUUGGAACUCCAUAUUGUUGUUGUUAGUGAGCUCACUAUAAAUAUCCUUUGGUCCUUUAGGAUCCACAUCCUGUCUUGCUCUUUGUUCGAGAUGAUGCAGAUUGGUAGUAUGUGUUGCCUUUCGUAUUCGUUGGAAUGUGGUUGAAGUGAAAUCGGGAUGCACUAGCUCUGGACAUUUCUUUCUUUUUAUUCUUCCUAUCAUGAUAUCAAUCCUUUGCUGCUUUGCAUCUCUGAUGGGGAAGGCAUGAGGAUCAAGGUAGUGGCCCUUAGUGGUGUCUUUGGAGGACUUCUUGCAGUCUCUGUUGCUGAAUUCUCCUAGCGUAGAUGCUAUACCACUUCCAUCUUUGCUUAUAGCCUUCCUAAGAGAGCUAGGCUCUCCUGAACUCUAGUGUUGCCCUGCUAGUCCUAGAACUUGAGCCUGACUCGUAUUGUGAGGGCCUAAAUUGAGCCUUAUGCUUGGCCACCUCCUACUACCAUCAGUCAUCCAAGCUUGUCUGGAGGGCAGCCUUGAUUUAUGCCUCAUCAUCUAGAAUAGAGCCCUCUUCUGAUAUCUUGGAGUGGUAAGAAAGUAGCUCUACUACUUGACGAUCUACAUCUGUGUUCUUCUGGGCAGUCCUCUUUUUUGCUGCUUUGAAAUCAGUGAAGUGAUUUUUCAUUGGUUGCUGGACCUCCUAGGGGCAUUUCCAAUGCAUCGAUACAUCGACGUAACCACUAGCAAGACCCGGCUUCAUCUUGGUUAUCCCACCCCCUUUAAACUCGAUCUAUUCGCACUUUUGGUGUCGACCCAAGAACAUGACUCCGUGAUUUUAGCCAAUGUCGCACUCCAGCUUCCUUUUGGAUGGAUCCAUUCUUGCAAGGAAAUUAAACACAUGUCAAACAUUUUUGCAUUGACUAAUAUUUAGAUAAUCAGCUACGUGUUGUAUCAAAUUCUUAUGAUUUUGUUACUUAAUUAACUAAUUUAAUUAUUUUAUUUUAAUUUAGAUAAUUGCGGCAUCACAAUAGGGAUGCUGCAUUUAUUAUUAUCUUUGGCAUUAUUUAUUUUUUAGAAAAUAAUGAAAUUUCAAUGUGUUGUGAAAUAUAUGUUUCUACUUUGGGAAAUACUUCUGAAUUAUCUAUACGUAGUAAUUUUUCAUAUUUGGUAUUACUUUAUUUUUUAAGAAAUAAUUGUCAAGUGUAAAUAAUUCAAAAAAUUAUUUUGAGCUUAGAUCUAUAUAACAACUCACUCUGGAUGCUACAUAUAUAUUUUUUAGAUUAUAGUGUAAGGAUCCAAUCUUUUGAUCAUCUUGAACAAAUUUUUUCUUGCAUAAUUUUAAAGCAGACCAAAAAGUAAAAAAAUAAAAAAUGUGUUGUGAGGAAUAUGUUUUCUACUUUAAGAAAUAUUUCUAAACUACCUAUAUGUCGUACUAAUUUUUUAUUUUUUAUUAAUUUUUUAUUUUAUAAAAUAAUUGUUAGGAUAAAUUACAGGAACACCCCCUUAACUUUAACUCAAUUUUAUUUACACCCUUAUAUUUUAAAAAAUAUCAAACUGAUCUUUUUAGUUAGCGAUAUGUUUCAAUGUGAUCCAGCUGUUCAUUUUAUCAAUAAAUGGUGUUAGAUUUUUUUCGUUGAACGAAAAUAUCCCUUGUUCAUGGAUGGCAAGGAAUGCCGUACCGGGCCGAACCGCCCGAUACGGAGCGUGCUGAAUCGUUCCGAUGGGGAACCGAGACGGUUCCGGCAUGCAAAACGGUACACGUCAGUGUCGGAGAAAGGAGAAAAAGAGGAAAAGAGAGGAAGAGAAAAAGAGGAAGAAAAAGAGGGAGGGGGUCCGUCGGAGUGCCGCCGGCGGGCCACCAGCUUCAUUAUGAAAAAUAUUUUUUUAAAAAAAAAUGAAAAACAUGGGCGGAUCGCUCCUGUUCCACGCGUGGAGCCGCGGGAGGCGUUUACGCCGCCCGAUGGCCACGGCGGCCCCUCCGGCGAACCUCCCUCUUUUUUUUCCUUCCUCUCUCUAUUUCUCUCUCUUUCUUCACCGGUUCGGCUUUGUUUUUCUUCAUCGUUUUGUCUCGGUUUGGAACGGAAUGGAGGCAUGCCGGACCGUACCGUCGGUCGGUCGGUAAGGAAAGUAGAUGGAUGGGCUUGGAGGAGAAAGAAGAUAAGAAAAAGUGGAUGAAGAGGAAGGGAAGGAGGAGAGAAUGGUCGCGGGUAAGGAAUGGAUUAGAGGACAAGAAGGAGAAGAGGGUGGAGAGGAAGAAGAGGGGAAAGAAUGGGUUACCGAUGGGAAGAGCUGGAGGUGGAAGGGGCCGCCGUGAAGAGGAUGACUUAUGGGCGGGUUAGAGGAAAAGAAGGAUGGGGAGGUGAAAUGGAAAGGAGGAAGGAAAGGAGGUUGAGGAAGCUAUCA
Elaeis guineensis (African oil palm) is the source of this 9261-nucleotide non-coding RNA. The record is from RefSeq and is a predicted model, not a curated record. NCBI's taxonomy places the organism in Eukaryota, Viridiplantae, Streptophyta, Magnoliopsida, Arecales, Arecaceae.